This is a long non-coding RNA of Spinacia oleracea (spinach), 14185 nucleotides long. RefSeq lists it as uncharacterized. The transcript is spliced from 3 exons. Lineage: Eukaryota; Viridiplantae; Streptophyta; Magnoliopsida; Caryophyllales; Amaranthaceae. The record is from RefSeq and is a predicted model, not a curated record.
AGAAGUAAUUUUCACCUUUUUUUUUUUUUUUUUUUUUUUUGUGUUUUUCCAUAAUUCACUACAAAAUCGCAACCUAUAAUUACAAAUUCAGUGAAUUUUUAGUCAAUUUUGUCGAGGUUUAUUGCGCUUGAACUUUUGUGAAUUUUGGUUUGAAUUUGUGUGAUUUGGUAAUUUUCUUCACUCAGAUUAUUAGAUAUUGAUUUGAUCGAAUUGACUUCGAAAUCAUGUUUCAGGCUUGAUUGUUUUUAGGUAUCUUAAUUCUUCUUUAAUUUGUCCAAAAUUGUUGCUUAUAAGUUCUGCUGAAUUUAAACUAUCAUUGUUUCCUACAAUAAUGUCAGUUUUAAAAGUAGAUAGAAAUCUAAAGUAAAUCAUUUAGACUCCAAAGUAUUAUUUUGCUCUUAUUUAGAAAAGUAGAUAGAAAGAUAGUAAAAGUAAAUCAAAUACGGUAAGAAGUAAACUUGUGUUAAAACUAGCAAUUUCACAUUCUGUUACACUUGUAUAGGAUAAUCAUAGAAAAACAGGAAGUAUGGGGUAGAGACUGUUAAGAUUUUAGAAUGACCAAAGGAAGCAAAUUGGAUCACAUGAAUGUUAAUGCCUAGUUGGAAGAUCCAUUCAUGUGGGUGAUUUAGCAUACUUGAGUUAUAACUGGUAGGCCAGUACCAGACACUAUUAUGUAAAUAUGAAGCAGUGGAGGUUUUCUGCUGAAUUGUUUCAAUAUGUGCCUAUUUUUCACUGAAUUUCAGGUCUUUAGAACUGCUCGAUCAAAAGUAAACUAAAUAUCUAUAAAAGUAAACUAAACCUCUCUAAAGGUAACCCUAAAUCUCUAGAAAAUCAGAUGACUUAAUGGUUUUGUUGCUGCUUUUGUAGCCUGUUGUUACAGAGACUGAAGGAAAUAAUGCCCUUGGUCCAAGUAUGCAUUCUAUGUUAAGUCUAAUAAAUGCGGUUCAGUAUUAAUUAACAAGUUAAUAAUUCAGUGAGAUCAAGUGAGCUGAAUGCCUAGCUAGAGGCCGCUUCAGUUCAAGUGGAAUUAAUGAUAUUAAUCCACAGCUUACUCUUGACUGAACCCAUAGGGUCACACAAAUAGUACGUAAACGGAUCAAGUAUUUAAUGGCAUUAAAUACUCUAUCUAUGGAUAUUCGGAAUCGACGGAUCUUGGUUUCAGUGGGAGCUGAGAUCGUCACAAGCAAGAAAUGAAUACUCCGGAAACGAUGAUAUUGCCGGAAAUGGAAAUAUGGAUCGUAUCGGAAAUAUAAAUAUUAUCCAAGUCGUAGAUGUUGCCGGAAACGGAAACAUGGUACGUAUCAGAAAAUAUUAUCGGAAAUGGAAAUAUUGCCGGAAUCGGAAAUAUUGCCAGAAACGGAAAUAUUGUCAGAAUCGGAAAUAUUAUCGGAAUCGGAAAAUAAUUCCGGAAACGGAAAUAUUAAAUAUUUGUUCGAAACGGAAAUUAAUUCCGGAAUCGGAAAUAUUAAAUAUUGUUCGUAUCGGAAAUGAAUUCCGGAAUCGGGAAUUUAAUCGGAAGCGUAUCGUACGAAUUAGCAUCGGACGAGGCCCGCCAGACGAAGGCCCAGCACGAAGCUAGGCCAUCGCCCAGCGAGCCGCACGCAGCAACGCACGCCUCGACCAGGCCCAGCCAAGGGCGCGCGCGCGCGCAGCACUUCACAUGGGUUGUGCGCCUAUCGUGGGCCGCAAGGCCUGCGCGGGUGCACGGCUUGUACGAUGCGUGUGCGGGAAAUCCUAAUCCUAUUAGGAUUUGUGCAAAGAUUAAAAUCCUAAUCCUAUUAGAUUUUCUUUGUUAUUUAGAGUCCUAAUAAAGUUCUAAUUAACAAAUCCACAUCCUAGUAGGAUUACAAUUCCUUUUCCAUACUCCUAUAAAUAAGUGCCUAGGGUCACAAUUUAUGGGCACGAUUGAAGUAUUCAAAGGGUAAGUUUUUGAAAUAUAAAUCAGCCAUACACUUGCAAUAAGAGCCGAAAAUCCUAAGCACCUUGAGGGGGAUUCUAGUUGGUCUAACUUGAGGCGGAUCCGGACGUACUGUGGACUAUCUACGGAGGGACGACAUUUGGAGUCCUAAAGACUUGUUCUUGUUCGGUUCGGGCGCAGCUAGGGAAGGCACGCUACAACAUAUCUGCUUCUGUUCGGCCUUUGUUUCUGCCGAUCUUUUUGUGUAUGUUCUAAGCUUGGGCUGUGGAGCUAAAAAACGUGCAAUGUUUAGACAUGUUGAUAAAAUUUCUCAAAGAUAGAGGUAAGUUCUCGUGGCUGUGAGUUAUUUUUUUCUGGCUUGAGUUUGGAGUGUACAUUUUGUGAGCUUGGUUUGUUUCUGCUUAGUAGUAGGCCAACAUCAGUGUGACUGCAUUUUGUUAAGUGUUGGUGGCUUAGAAUCAAUCUCGGAACUAGGUUCAGAGUUGUCGGAAUCUUCUAGUUGUUGCAAUCGUUGUCAGACCUGGUCAUGUAUGAAUGCAGAAAAGUUGUGGUGUUUCUUAGUGGUUUUUGGGAGAAUGUGUGUUGAGGUAGGUGAUGGUUUGUACUUAAGAUGUAUGUAGGCAAAGACGAGAUUGUGUUGAACUUUAGGCGUGUGUUCAAUUAGUUUAUACCCUAACGUGUUCUGUUUACUUUUGGAGAGAUUAACUUUACUUUUCAAGAGAUUUAGUUUACUUUUAGGGUUUGGUUUGCAGCCUGGUUCUUUUUUUGUGCUUUGAUUGCUAGUUUAAACUGUAGUGGUUGAGUACAAGAAGGAGCUUCUUGGGGGUUGUGUCAGUCAGUUGGGAGCGCUAGAUGUUGUUGGCUUGGCAGUAGUUUCUAUUCUUGCUGUUGUGCUUCAUUUUCUUUGUUUUCCCUUUCUGUUCUUGCUGUUGUGCUUCAUUAUUGUAGCUGGUUGUUUUUGGAGCUAAAAAACGUGCAAUGUUAAGAGAUUUUUGGGUUUCAGAUAGAGAAAAUAGCAUUUUAUUUGCGUGGUUACCAGGCAUCUUGGCUAUACAUCUAUAACCUCUACUGAUAAUGCCUGAUCACCUGCAAAAAUUAUGUGGAAUGAUGUGGUGGUAUUAUCUUUACUCCUGAUCAAAGAAUCCAAACUGAGGUAUGUUGGAGAAUUCGGAAUAGUGAUAUACUGAUAUGCAACUUCUCAGCUGGAUUUUACAACCAGACUUCCUCUCUCACUUCCAUCAUCAACACUGCAAAGAUCUUGGGAUUCAUGGGUUUUAUCCUAGUUGCGAAUCCUGCUUAUGGUGAUUUUAGUGCAGAACCAGUGCCUUUCCCUGUGCUUACUAAAUCUCUAAGUAAGCACUUUUCUGAAGCUGGAAUAAUAGUUGAUAACAAAGAUGGUGUGUUGACCCAACAUAUAAAGUAACUAAAUUGUGCUUAAGUAGACUAAAUCUCUUCAAAAGUAAACAAAAUCUCUCUAAAAGUAAACUAAAUAAUAACAAAACUUCAAAUAUAAAUAUCUCUUAAAUAUUUUAUGAAAACCUAUUAACUCAAAUGGUAGAGCAAUGUGCAAUUGCACAUGGAUGUAGGUUCAAAUCCUACAUAGGUCAUAAGUUUUAACAGUUCAACAGUUAAAGAUUUUUAAUUUCUAUAUAAAGUUUUAACAAUUCAACAUGAAGAACUCAAUUAACCUAGUCGAGUUAUCAGAUGUGGGAGAUAUGAGAGCUCGAUUUUGUUUGUAUGUUUAUUUGAAACUAAACAUAAUCAUGGGCGAUGACCUUUUUAUCUAAAUGUUGUCAAGGAAUGGUUAUGUAUUGAUAGUUUAUGUUCUAUGGUUUAUUUGAGCUCCUCACAUAUCACCUUUCUUAUAGAAAGCCCGAUUACCACUGUUGUCUUUCAGUGAUCAAGUUGUUUUAUCAAGUUAUGUUAUACAUAGGUUGGUGAUCUAUACAAAAAAAAAACACUCAAAAUUAGAUAAUAAACUCAAAAGUAAAUUAAAAAAACACUAAAGUAAAUAAGAAAAUCUUAAAAGUAAAUAUGAAAAUUUCAAAAGUUAUCUGAACGUUGUUAACAUUGCACUGGAAAAUGGCAUAUCAAAUUUCCAUAAAAAAAAAAGAAAAAAAAGAAAAUGGCAUAUCAAAUCAGAGGUAUGUGUAUUUUCAGAAGCCUCUCCUUGAGUCGAAAUCGUUCAAAGACUCUAUUGUUUCAUUAUUACUCAUAAAAAUUGAAUGACUCUAUUGUUUCAUUAUUACUCAUAGAAAUUGAAAAAGAGUUUUUUUGCUAUGUAAAUGAAUACUACUAAAAGUAAACUAAAUGAAUUCAAAAGUAAACUAAAAAGCUCAAAACAAACAAAGCCAUUUAAUUUUUUUUAUUAGGAAAAGAACCGUAAUGAAACCCUUACAAAGAUAACCUACGUGGGAUUCAUACCCACAUUUUUGCGCUUUUGCACAACGCUCUAUCCAUUGAGCUAGUAGGCUAGUGUUAUAUGACCAUAGAGUAGUAAGAAUAAUUAGAAUGCAAUCAUAUAUUUAUAAAUAACUCGUAAAAGUAAAAGGAUAUCAAAAAACAACAAGCAUCAGUAAACAAUACUCAACUUGGAAGCCCAACAGAGCACCCUGUCUUCAAACCUAACCACAUCCCAGAACACCUCUCAUCUUCUGACCACCAACAACCAGCAAAAAAGCAGCACAGACUUGACAAGUGACUUGUCAUAACAUAACAGCAACAGAAUAAGGCAAUAGGAACAAGAGACACAAAGGCAACCUAACAAAACCACCCUAUAUUGACCAGCAGAAUAGUCAACUCAUGUCACCUGCAAUUCAGCAGCCAACAAUGUCCAUUGAUAUAUCACAGCUUUGGAAGGCUCUCUAUUAGUCCAGAACAAUGAGAAUGGUAGCUCAAAUUACACAUCUAAUGUUUGCAGACAUGUCAUUGAGUAUAAUUUCUUAUAUGGUGCCCAUAGUCAUCACCAAAAUGUGUGAACACACACACCGAACAAUCUGAAAAUAGUAAACUCAACCUUUCUGAAACAAGAACUGUAUUACAGGCAUCAGGCAUGUUGAACACUGAAAGUAACAUACACACGCGCGCGCACACACACACACACACACACACACACACACACAACAUGCUUGUUUGCUGAUGUAGUUUUAAUGUUGAUCAGAUGCCCCUUUGUUCUAAGCAGCUAGGACGCUAUGUUCUGGUCUACUAGUUUUGAGGUCUGUUGGCAGUAGCUAUUUGCUAGCUUGAUGCAGACAUAUGCAGAAUGUUUCAUUAUCAUUCUCAAAAUAUUUAAAGUAAAUAUUAUCCUAUUAAAAGUAAAUAAAACAAUACAAAAAGUAAAUAUUAGUAGAAACUAAUUGAACACACAACUAUACUCCAGUAAAGAGUCUCGUCACUGUAAUGCACACACUUAACAUAAUGAGAUAUGCUACACUAUCUCUGCAAGGCCAAAACCCCUGAAAAACUAAUUCACAUGGCUCCAUCCAUCAAUUCACAUCAUCUAGUCUGAACCCCAACAACUGUCGAAUCCCACAAAAGCCAAAAACAGAAUUAAAAAGAAAAAGAAACAUCCAACGCAAAACAAAUAGAACCAGUUGCAGUCUUAUAUAUUUCCAUUUAGAAAUAUAGUAGGAAGAAUUAGAAUGUAAUAGUGAAUUUUGUCUAUUGUUCAAUUUAAAAGUAGACAAAUAACUUACAAAAGUAAACAAAAUUGAUUCAGAAGUAAAGGAUCGCUAAAUUGGAGAAUGGAUAUUGGAGGAUUUAAGAAAAUAUAAGUUGCCUAUUGGAGGAUUUGAGAAGGAUAAGUUUCCUCUAAAACCAGUUCAAAACAAAUAGCAUCAUCUUUACCAGCAAUAGCUUUUGUCUGAGUUGCAACUACCUCCACUGUAGUCCCUCCUUCAGGUUGAUCCAAAGUCUCACCUACGCAAGCAAUUACUUCCAGGCCUUGGGUUUGUUCAUACUCAAUCUUGUCUGCAACAAACUGGAAGAGAAAAUAUAAGAAAAAAGUCCAAAAAAGACACCUUAGUCAACAAAACAAGACAUAAUAAUCUAUCGAACAACAAGAAAGUCUGAAGGUGGCACAUCAUACAUCGUUUGUUGCAUUUGACAGGGUCUUCUCUCUAGAUGACCAGGGAUCACCCAGUUAAUACCCAAUUGACGAGCAUCUCUGCAAAAACGAAUAGAGCUUGCAUUAAAAAAACUGUAAAACCUAAUUUCAACAAUCAAAAUCGAAAAAACUGAAAUGAACAAACCCCAAUUUUAGCAAACAAAAAACUUAAAAUGAAACCCUAAUAUGAGAAAACAAAAUGGAAAAUACUGGAAAACAAAAAAUUUAUAAACCCUAAUUCCAACAAUGAACAUCGCAAACACUUGAAUCUAAAAUCAGAAAAUAAAAAAACGAUUAUAAAAUAAAUUACUUACUUUACGAAAAAUUGCUGCAUGAGAGAAGAUGCGAAUGUUAGAAGUGCAAAGCUAUGAACUGGGUCAACAUGAAUCGCAGAAGAGAGGGGAAUUGCAGGAGGAGAGAGAAAACGGGGGAAGAGAGAGAAACGAAAACUGAAAAUCGGAUUCAGGGGGAGGAGGUCAUUCAACUAUGCGAUAUUACCAUAUUACCCUUAUUUUUUUGUUUUGUUCGGGUGAGAUGUGGAUCGUUGGAUUGAAUUGCUCGAUGGCUGAGAUUAGUUCUCAGUUCUCAUCUUAAGGGGUGGUUCUCACCGGAUCCUAUAUAUAUAUAUAUAUAUAUAUAUAUAUAUAUAUAUAUAUAUACGAAAAAAAUAUGGUCCAUUCAUUUUCACGAGGAUUUUUUUUCUUAAAGUAAGUCCUUUUGACUUGUGUUGGAGAGCCCAAAAUGAUGGGUUAUGUGUUUAGUCCACUUGUGGCUUAAUAGAUUAGCUUAUCUUGGAUGCCUUUGACUGUUUUUGAGCUAUGUAUGAUCUAUGAGAGGGUUAGGUCAGCAACAAGAAUAAUCAGAAUACACACCCAAAAGGAGAUGAGAGAAAGAGAGAAGAGUUGCUCGGAUUUUUCAUGACAACCUGCACGAAUCGAAGUUGUCGAUUUCCGGAGAUUCAACCAUUAAAUUUUGCCUGAAAUUUGGCCAGCUUGUUGGGGACACAUAGGGCUUCGUUUUGAGCUUCGCUUUGUCCGUGGUCGCACCUGGACAGAACCUACGAAAUUGGGUGAUAUUCUUAAUUUUUUCCUCAAAUUCUCCAAUUUUUUUGUUCUUGAAAUUAAGGUUCUUAAUGUUACCUAAUUUCAAGAAUCGUUUUUUUUUUAAGAUCUGAAUAAGUUAGGUGGGGGGUGGGGGAAAUAUGGAGGGAAACUUUUAAAAAAAAUUGUAAAAGUUUAAGACACGUGCAUGUCACGUGAUGGUCAAGGCCGGAAAACAGUCGUUGACCACCGGAAUAUGGUUUAUGGUCCUUAUUCACAACAAAAAAACCCAAUUGGGCCUUCUUUCACAACUUUUUUUUAAAAGAUCCUUUCUCACAAUUUUUGUGUUUUAAAAGGUCAUUUCUGACAAAUUUUCCAUAAAAUAUCAAAUUUUUUAUAUGAGUUCAAGAUUUCAGUUGAAUUUAUUUGUUAAUUAUUGCAGAUUUGCAGGUUGUUGAUGGAAGAGCUCGUCUAGCACAAACUUUUAUCAUAUCGUAUGUUGUAAUUAUUGUUGUGUAUGUUCGAAUUAUCGCUUGCAUAUGUUCUAAAGAUUUCUAUAUCUGUUCUAAACCUUUAUCUACAUUUCUUUGUAAAUUUUGGCAGGUUCACACUCUAUUGACCUUAUUGACUGAAUCAUAGUGAGGAAACAGACGUGAAUUCCAGAGUAUAUAACUAUAUAUAUUACUUUCAUAGUUUUGGGGGAUUUACGUUGUCAUCCCUUUGACUAACUUCAAAGACAUUGUUUUGGUUCCAUGGAUUAUAUGUAUUUGACUAUUUGAGGGUGGUUAUUAUUUCUGAGUGUUAGUCGUAAUGCAAAUUUUAGAAAACUUGGUACUAUUUGGAUGAUGGUAAGUUAAUGUCACAGCCAAGGUGUGGCUUGUAUCCUGAGCCACGGGAAGGCCGUGGCCUUGGCUGUUGAUGAAGGAAGAAAAUAUACCAAGUAACUAAUGCCAAUUGUUUUCCUUAAAUCCUACGAAAGUCAGAGUUUGGUGGAUACAAAACUCUUCCACCCAUUUUUUUAUUUGACGUUUCCUAAUUCUUUUCAAAAUGCUUCUUUAGGAUAAGAAUCAAGGAUUUCCUCAUUCACGUUUUUGGUCAUUGGCAAUUGACGAGUGUACGUGUAAUUGACCCUUCCGUUUAAGCAUAUAUUCAAAUACCCGAUAUUAACCCAAAACAUAACAUACCAAAAAUACAAACCCUAAAUUCUAUUAGAGAUCUGAGCAGUUCUUGAGCAGUUCCACCUUUCAAGUUCGGGUGCACGGAUUUGAAGGAGAGUUGUGUUAACCUUGGGAGGCGUUCGUCACUUGAGAGCCUGUACCGGUAGUGGCGAAAUUCGCUUCUAAGUCAGUGGUCUCCAUACCACGACACAACUAUUUUCCUAUGAGAUCAAUAAUCGGGUAACAUCUAAUCUUAUUGUUAAUCAUAAAUUCUUGAUUCUACAGUUACUUUUCUUACAAUUUAGAAGCGAAUUUUUUACUGUUGAUUCUUUAUUAUGAGAUACACAAUUUGUAUUGGGAGAUGAAGAACUAUUGUGUGUGGGAAUUGGUUAAUUAUCCGAAUUAACUAAUUCGUUGCAUUGGUUGGAUAAAGUUUACUACUUUUUAGUUGUCGUCAAAUUGAUCUCUGAAUUGACUUCAGUAAUGAAUUGAUUAUUAAUACCAAGGUGUGUAUCAUAUGGUGUAUGCCUAAGGUAUGGCUGGAUUAUACGGAGUAUGAGUUUUGAUCAAUAGUAUAAUGGCUAAAGUGAGAGAAAUCAUGUUCAAUCUAACAAGUACUAAUUCUAUGGCGGUGAAUUUAGGUUAAUUUAUUUCAUGGAUUACCUAAUUUAUUAUUCGGUCAUCAAUCAAAUUUCUACUACAAUUUACCAAUUGAUUUGAACUUUCAAUUUAUUGGGAAACUUAGGGUCUAACUGGUAAUGCCAUCAUAAAAUAAGGAAAGUGUAUUCCUAUACUGGUAGAUGCGACGGUUAGUCUUUUGAUCACUCACUGCGGCAUGCGGGUGUUGUUAAUGUGUAUAUUACUGUGUGUUUAUGUGAGAGGUGUUGCGUACUUUCGGUAGUGUUGUGGGGCUUGAGUGUCCAUAACCAGUAGACUCCUCGUCCUCAUUGUGGCUUUGCGGGUUCCGGGGAAGGAAAUUGAUUUAGAGCUUUAAUUUGAUCAGUAGAGUCUGCGACAUGAACGUGGCUUUGGAUUUUCAAUCAGCACAGUAGUUGUUGUUUACAACAUAAUCCGAAGUAUAUGUCUCGCCUUCUUUUCAUCGUCGGUACCCCAAAAUUAAUUAAGAGAACUUGCUGAUUUGAGUCAUAAGAAGUUACUUGUCGUUCUAUGAUGCUUAGUCAUUCCACAUAGGGGCUCUGGAUAAGGUGUUGUGGUGGUCGUGGCCUGGUUGGUGCAGACAUUUAAUGGCACGCAUACAGGUUACUAUUCAAGUGAGUGAUCAAGUUUAUGAAACGACUCAAGGACUGCAACAUGCUAACAGGAAAGUUCAUUCUCACUUUAUUUAUUGUCAAACUUUAACUAUACAUAAUAUGUUUAUUAUGUUUUUUUUAUGCAUGGUAAUAUUUUUGGUGAAUUAUUAUGCAAUGUUGGGGCGAGUUAAGUUUGAGACUAACUAGAAAAUCAACUUGGCUUACUUUGGUGAGUAUUUUGUAUAGGAGACUAUACUUGGUGGUCUGGUAAAGAUAACGAGAUUCAUGAAUUUGUGUAAGUUCCAAUAUAUGGGGUAUCAGUGAUUUUAACUUUUCAUGAGGUUGAGGAUGGUCUCACUAGAUCUUAUCUAGUUAAUUCACCCAUGUCUUGUAUUACUGUUUUUCCUAUGACUGUGAGUUCUUGGAGCUGUGGGGGUGUUUAAUAAGGAGGUGAGCCUUUUUAUCCUUACAGUGUGUUGAAAUUGGCUUAUGUACUUGUAAUGUUGUGGACAUUGUCUAAGCUGAUUUGGAUUAUGCUUGUCUUUUCAUUUAUUUGAAUUGAAUGAUAUCACUAAUUGUGGAUCUCGUGAAGUCAUCUUUUGAUUAACAAUCCUGCAGGGAUAUGCUAAAUUUACAUUUAUAUUCACUCAUUUCUAUUAAUUUCGCUUUGCUUCCAGUCCUUUCUAAUGUGCUGGAUGAGCCAGUUUUACUGAGGUGUAGCAAAGGUAAGAGCAUAACUAGUGGAGUCCAUAAUAUCUUUUGUUUUAUUUUAAAGAAGUUAUGAUGGACCAGUGAAGUUUAUGGUCGAGAAGUAAUGGAUAACUUUCAUGAAUCAUUUUAAGAGGUCAUGUGCAUUAGUUGGGACUAGUUGGACGAGUGUUGUAAUAUAAAGGUGAUUAUGAGUCUUUUAAUUAAGACAUAUUGUGCCUUGGAUAUGUUAGACCAGGGUUGCGCAAUAAUCUUAGCAGGGUUGACUACUAAGUUUCUCUCAAGUGUGAGUUGAAAGGUAAGAGCUUGUAAAAGGCUAAGGGCAGCGCAAGUUAGGUAUUUAGAGGAUUCACUCUAGGUUUAGUAUUGACCACAUAUUAUGUAUCUCUUGUGACUAAGUUUUCCUAACUUAGGGGUUUAUUUGCAUCAACAUGGUUACAUGUGUGAUUGAAGUUCAAAGAGAUUUUCAAAUUGCAUUGUUGUGUGGCACCUUGUAUAAGGAAGUGUAAAUAGUGUAAUUAUCUGCUAGUUGUUUCCUAGUAAGGAAUGUUUGGUAGUGGUCUUGAGAAGUCUAAGGUCAGUUGCAGAUACCUAAGCGUGGUAUGAGUAGUUUCAUGUAACUUGUAUUGCCUCAUUGGCUUGAUUAUUAUUGGUUGUGUAUGUAUUGUUGGACUUUGAUGAUUGACUAAUCACAUGGUGUUACAUAAAGUAUACACAGGAAGCUUUAGAGACUAAAGCUGAAUCCAUUCAAGCCAAAGUGUUGGUUAAUUGAGUUUAAUGCAUUAUUGGUGGUAAGACCAAUGAAUUGGUAAGGUACAUAUAAAAUCAAUCUCUUUGUGUAGGGAAGAUAUGUGGUAAAUUAACUAUUGUGUAUAUUAGUUAAUAAACAUUUAUUGUGACUCUAGCCAACUGAUGUUAAAAGUAACUGAGAAGGUAUGUCUCAAAAAGUUGUGUAUGCUAUGAGUUUGAGAUUCUAAUACUUGACAAAUUUUCUUGACCAGGUGUUGCUUUUACAAUGAAGUAAACUUGCUAGCAGAGCCAACUUUCAUGUUUGAGUGGUCGUGUUUUAUUACCUAGGAGUUCUCAUAUUCAUGAACGGUCUGGCGGAGUGACUCGGGCACCCGGGGAAAUCUUCAUUUCAUUGACAAUGACAGUGAUUGACGUUGAGUUUUGGGGUUUGGGUUCGCGAUCGGUUGGGGAUAGAUUCGUCCUUUCAGACUGGGCAGCAUAGGUUCCCUCUUUGAUACGUCGACUUUCACUGAUUUUUUAUGUCACGUAUUCGGACAGACCUGGCGAUGAAUCAUUUGUAUUUAUCUUUGGAGUCGGAAAAGCAAAUGAGUAUUGAAGUUCCACUAUGAAGACAAUUUCUUAUUGGUGGAUCUUGCUAGUCAAGAAGUCAAGUGAUUAUUAUUGCAUGAUAGUUCGAUGUGGGGGUUGGUAAUUCCUCUGAUUCUCUAUAAUUUAACUCACUGGCUUGCAUGUGCAUCCAGAAAUUCUGAUCUUUCUGAAGGUAAAAAACACUAUAGUGUGAGACGUGAGCAAUUAGUGAACGUGGUACUCCACGUGGAGUAUAUAUGCUAGACAAGAGAAGAACUACUCAAAUCUUUAUGCGAAGAAUGAAUCACUAUGUGAUGGUGUCUAACCCGUUGAGGGGAAUGAGUUUUAAAAAUUCAUGCGUUGAUCCAUCCCUUACAGGGUGAUGACGAGUCAGAGCUUAAGGCUUUGCAUUUGUUUGGCCUCACAGACCCAGGCCUCCUGUUUGGAUGGUGUCAUGAGAAGUUAUGGUGGAUACAUUGCUUAAUGUGUUAGCUUCAUAGAUCCGAUUGGCCUCUCUGAUGGACAGAGUCACGAGAUGACGUGAACACUAAUAUUUAUGAUUAGCCUCAUAGAUCGAGGUCACUUGUCAAAGUGAUGUCAUGAGAUGUUCUUGUUGAUUUUCUGGUAUCCAGCCUCAUAGACCGAGGUCACUUGCAUGUCUAAGUGAUGUCAUGAGUGUAGAUACAAUGGUUUCUUUGCUUUGCCUCAUAGACCGUGACCAUUCGAGUUAAUGGUGUCAUGAGAAGAUCUAUACAACUAGCCUCACAGACAUAGAUCACUCGAGUUAGUGGUGUCGUGAGAUGACCGGUGAGUUGUAUAGAUGGAAGGUUGAACUUAAAAGUUCUUAAUGUUCGUGGAACACCUGCGGUGAAUGUGAAGGGAUGCCCUCCUUCUAUGAGUGAUGGGAUAUCUCUCUAUAGCGUUCACUAAGAGUCCCAAGAUGAGCGGCCGUGUUAUUUAUCGAGGAAUUGCUCAAGCUCUUAUGGGAAGGUACGUGUUGUUGGGUCACUUUAAUAAUCUAGGAGUUCAAUCCUUUGGACACUCUCUUGACCGUUAAACACCCUACUCCACUAUGUGUUAGUUCAAACCUUUGGAUACUAACAUUUAAGUACUAAGCCUAUUAUUUACUGCUCAGUUCUCUAAGUCUCGUGUUAUUUUGCAUUAGUGGGGGAAUGUUAGUCGUAAUGCAAAUUUUAGAAAACUUGGUACUAUUUGGAUGAUGGUCAGUUAAUAUCACAGCCAAGGUGUGGCUUGUAUCCUGAGCCACGGGAAGGCCGUGGGCUUGGCUGUUAAUGAAGGAAGAAAAUAUACCAAGUAAUUAAUGCCAAUUGUUUUCCUUAAAUCCUACGGAAGUCAGAGUUUGGUGGAUACAAAACUCUCCCACCCAUUUUUUUUUUGACUUUUCCUAAUUCUUUUCAAAAUGUUUCUUUAGGAUAAGAAUCAAUGAUUUCCUUAUUCACGUUUUUGGUCAUUGGCAAUUGACGAGUGUACGUGUAAUUGAACCUUCCGUUUAAGCAUAUAUUUAAAUACCCGAUAUUAACCCAAAACAUAACAUACCAAAAAUACAAACCUUAAAUUCUAUUAGAGAUCUGAGCAGUUCUUGAGCAGUUCCACCUUUCAAGUUCGGGUGCACGGAUUUGAAGGAGAGUUGUGUUAACCUUGGGGGGCGUUCGUCACUUGAGAGCAUGUACCGGUAGUGGCGAAAUUCGCUUCUAAGUCAGUGGCCUCCAUACCACGACACAACUAUUUUCCUAUGAGAUCAAUAAUCGGGUAACAUCUUAUCUUAUUGUUAAUCAUAAAUUCUUGAUUCGACAGUUACUUUUCCUACACCGAGUGGUGACUCAAAUUUAAGAUGUAGUACGUGCUGCAAAGCGGGUAUGUUACAGAGCAACACCAAACGCAGCAGUUAAGUUCCGCAGGAAUUGAUCAAACGGUGCAUCCUAGCAUGGCCCAUAUAAGUAGAGACCGUUUUCAUUUUCAGUCUUCACGGAAGCAAGUCAUUGUGGUUUACCUAGUUUGGAGGACAAUAAAAUUCCAGACAUUAAGAGAAAACAUGGAACUCGAUACCACUGCCCCUCUGGCCUCUUCUAUGUGUUGGUAUCACAGUCUACAGCCCUUUGAAGUACUUUGAGCUGACAAACCUGGACUCCAUUUUGGUGUUGUUUGGCUUGGUGGUCUAGGCAAAGUACAUGGUUGUAAAAUUCUCUAGGGCUUUUGGUGCUAAGGUCACAUUUAUCAGUACCUCGCCUAACAAGGAGGAGGAAGUUGUCAAUCGUCUUGGUGCUGAUUUCUUUUUGGUCAGCCGUGACCCUCAAUAGUUGCAGGCUGCUGUUGGAACAAUGGAUGGCAUAAUUGAUACAGUCUCUUACCUUUGAUCGCACUCUGGAAAACUCACCGAAAGUUAUUCAUGAUUAGUGCUCCAGACAGACCUCUUGAAUUGCCAAUCUUCCCUCUGCUUAUGGGUAAGCAACCCUCCUUAAACUCCUAGAUAAAGGGGGAAAUAUAUAGAUAGUAGUUACAUGUGGCAGAGACAUCUCGCAAGUUUAUAGUAAGAUAACUAGCUAAGAAGGUGGAGAGAUAAUUGAUACAGACAACCUUGUUCAUUUAAAAGGGUUAUUAAUUAGGAACAUGUUAAAAUGGUGUAGGAAGCAGCAUUAUACAGGUGACAAGGAUGAAAGGAAGUGUUAAAU